Molecule: unclassified non-coding RNA, 3029 nt
Filed under: Homarus americanus (American lobster)
Lineage: Eukaryota; Metazoa; Arthropoda; Malacostraca; Decapoda; Nephropidae
Description: transformer-2 protein homolog alpha-like, transcript variant X2
Source: RNAcentral
UACAGGCGGCCUCAGAGCGCGUGCGCACAACGACACUCGACGGAGGCUCAGUGUGGCAGGCUUUAGCUGGCUCAGGAGAUUGUUCAUUGGUGCCCUCAUUUUUUCCUCGUCCUGGACGUAUGCCAAGUUUUUUCUCUUGAUCACUAACCUCCAAAGGUUUACUAAACAUGAGUGAGUCACCUCGACGUAGUGUCAACAAUGGCACUUCACCGCUUCAUGAAAGGUCCCGAGACCCUUCCUUCUCCCGCUCAAGAUCGAGAUCAGUAGAACGUCGAGAUAGCUACAAACACUCCUCUCGGAGGUCUGGAUCACCAAAAUAUCGCGAGGAUCGAUACCGCGAUGACAAAUAUUCCUCCUCGUCACGCCGUCGAUACUCUCGCUCACCUUCAUACUCAAGAAACCGUCGGAGCAACAGGUCUCAAUCAAGGUCACCUAUGUCAAAUCGCCGGCGCCAUCAUGGAGAUCGGGAAGACCCCAGCCCAAGUACUUGCCUGGGCAUAUUUGGACUGAGCCUCUAUACUACAGAGAGGCAGCUUCAUCAUCUUUUUGGCAAGUACGGCCCAUUAAACAAAGUCCAAGUUGUUCUUGAUGCAAAGACUAGUCGCUCUCGAGGGUUUGCAUUUAUCUACUUUGAGCACGUAGAGGAUGCCACAGAGGCUAAAGAACAGUGCACUGGGAUGGAGAUUGAUGGUCGACGCAUCAGAGUAGACUAUUCCAUCACGGAACGAGCUCAUACACCUACCCCUGGUAUUUACAUGGGUAGACCCACAUAUUCUGGAUACGGAAGGCGUGGGGGUGGCGGCGGCGGAGGCGGUGGUGGUGGCGGCGGUGGCGGCGGCGGUGGUGGCGGUGGCCGUUACAGUGGAGGCUACGGUGGUCGCCGCCGCUCUCCCUCACCUUACCACAGAGGACCUCCUCAGCGACGGUCAUACCGCUCACGGUCGAGAUCAUAUUCCCCACAUAAAAACAGACGUGGUGGAUACCAGAAAUAAGCCGAAAAAGAUGGAUGUCGACUGCACUUACAAGGCUUUUUGAGGCUUGAAGAAUGGAGUAUUGGUGAAUAUUGGAAGAUAAGGAAAUCUUAAUGAAUGAGAAGAGUAGAAGCACUGGCCAGAGGCCUUUAGGGAGCAUUGGAGAAGAACUUAUGGCGAAGACAGAACAGGCUGGCAAUAUUCUUCACUCAUUUAAAGUCAACCAAGAAAUGGAUUGUUAACAAGCUAGAAUUGAAAAUUCAUGAAGCAUGUGAAGAUCUCAAACGUUAAGAAUUUACUGAAGCUUGAAGGGGCACUUGGCGAAGCUUAUGAAGAAUUCACUGUUGAUUUGAAGAAGGAAAUAAGGCGGGGAGAGGGUAGCACACAAGAAAAAAAGAAGGGAAGGAAGUACGAAAGGGAAGUAAGCUUGAAGCACGAUCAAAAUCUGGGGCAAGACGAAGGAAGGCAAGAAUUUGCUUCAGAUCAAAAGGGCGUAUUACGUCAUCCUUGUUGACACCACAUCAAUCUCAUCCUCAUGGGCGAGUGUCAAUACUGCCACUGAGAUUUUUAUUUUUAAGUUCGCAACUUGCGAUAUAACAGAAGUGAUUUCAGCUCUGUUCUUGCGAUAUUCUAAAUAUCCUUCUUAGAGUUCCAAGUGAAGUGAUGCAGUAAGUCAACAACAGGAUACCCUCAAGCUUUAUCACCCUUGACACUGGAAGAUAAUCUUGUUUCUGUAAGUUAUCCUCAACGGAUUCUGUCGUAAAACAGGUAAAGUGAAUCUUUGAUAGUACUUUGAAUGAAGUCAUAUUAUAAUGGAUGGUCAGAAUUGCCUAAGCUCACAGAAUUAUUUGUGUGAAAAGUGUUUACUGGUGAUGUAAGAAGGAUACGAGAGGACAAUGGUAGUGUGUGUGUGUUGAGGCAGUGAAGCAGCUGUCAGGAGAGACAACUGAGCUACAUACAUCAUGGAAGAGAAGGAAAGAAUAGGGGAGUGUAUAUUAAUGGCAAAAUUGAUAGUGAUAGGGCAGCUUGGAGGCUCUUUCCUCAUGGUCACCCCCAUAGAAAGGAGUUUUCCAGGGAAGUUUGGCAUUAUAGAUGAUUAAAGGAAGGUUGCAUUUAGGAGUGAUUGAUAAUAAUUCUUGUUCUUGAUUUGAGCAGAAGUGAAUGACCAAUUGAUAUAAUGUGUUAGAUGAAGUUUUGCAAAAGUAAUGUGGCUGAAACUGUCUCGAGGUACAGGCAUAGGAUUACAGGUAACCCUCGAUUUGUGAUGGAGUGGUCUUAAAACAUCAUCGUUAAAGCAAAAUAUCAUAAAUCGGGGUUUACCUGUACUGUACAGUAUAUGGUGAGUGAUGGGUUGGUGAUUUCUGGUGCUGCAAACGAAGGCACAGCAAUGAGAGAUUGAUGUAGGCAAUGAAUUGGGGUUAGUAUUUAUGGUAGCUGACUAGUGAAAUUUUUUCAAGUUUAGGUGAAGGACUGUGUAUAAUGUACAUACAUUCCUCGCCAUUGCGUUAUGCGCGAGUUGGCCGAUGGGAAGUGAUCUUUGCUGAAGUGUCUCACACCCCUCCAUACCAGCCAGCUGGGGGCUGAGGCAGGCCCUGUUGUUUCUUUGAUUUUUUUUUACCACAAUGGGCAAGAGGAAAGAUUUAGCAAAAGAGCAUGUUAAUAUUAUGCCUGUGUAGUUAUUGGCAUGUAUCCAUUUGUUGACUUUUGGUAAGGAUUAUGCGUUGAUAUGUUUGUUAACAGUAUUACUGUAUGUAUGUGUCAUGAGAUCUUUAAUUUUGUAGUUUUAUAGACAAAAGUAUUGGAAUGAUAGAGAGGUGUGUGGAGUGUAAUUGGUUACAGGAUGGUCAAGGUGAUAUAUGAUUGGUUACAGGAUGGUCAAGGUGAUGUAUGAUUGGUUACAGGAUGGUCAAGGUGAUGUAUGAUUGGUUACAGGAUGGUCAAGGUGAUGUAUGAUUGGUUACAGGAUGGUCAAGGUGAUGUAUGAUUGGUUACAGGAUGGUCAAGGUGAUAUAUGAUUGGUUACAGGAUGGUCAAGGUGAUGUAUGAUUGGUUACAGGA